Molecule: long non-coding RNA, 1456 nt
Filed under: Gallus gallus (chicken)
Lineage: Eukaryota; Metazoa; Chordata; Aves; Galliformes; Phasianidae
Source: RNAcentral
GUCGUGGCGUUAUUGGCAAUGGCAGUGGUACAGAGGGGCUCAGGAACUAUGGGAACAGGUUUGUCUUCAAGUAAAGGGUACAGAGUGCUGGGUCCAUUACUAUGUCACGUGAAGGCCAAGAAACCAAAAUCCGACUAUAAAAAUAAAUUGACAUUCUGUAAAUAACAAAAGCAAAUAUAGUGCCCUUUGGCUUAACCAAAAGGAAAAACCGACUAUUGGGUGCCAACCAGUUAUCCACAUUUCUGACAUAAAUAGAAAAUAUAAGUUAGUAUAACUCUUAAAAAAACGUUUUGUACAAAUAUACACUUGCUUCUUUCUUCUUCUUUCUCCUUUUUUCUUCUUUCUUUUUAGGUUUUUUGGGGGUUUUUGUUUGUUUUUUUUUGUUUUGUUUAUUGAGUUUUUUUUUUUGCACUGAGAGAUCAGCAGAGAUUAAACAUUUCCAUAUAAAUGACUUUGUUUUGUUUUGUUUCCUUUAAAGCUUUACACUUCUGGCCAGUGUACUCACAUUAGGCAUAAUACAUUUCUGUACAGAACGUCACACAUUGCACACUCGUACGGUAACACUGCUCUGUGCGCGGCCGCUCCCGGCGGGCGGGCGCUGCGGCUGCGGCUCCGUCCCCGCUCCGGCGGCGCUGCGGGGCCCGGGCCGGGCGCGGUGCGGGGGGGUCCCGGCUGCCCGCAACUCCGGGGCACGGCGCCUCUCCCGUGGGUGCCGUAGUGCAAAAGGCUGGCUCAGCGGAGCCGCUUGCGGGGGGUGUGCUCAGCCGGCACGGCGGCGGGGGGCUGAGGGCAGCCCGCGGGGCGCUCGGCCGCCGCUUUGGGCUCGGCCGGCCUUUUCCUCCUGGCGAAGAAAUCUGUGAUGCGGGUCGUGGGGCCGCUCCGCCGGGGCCGCAGCGCACGUCGGCGGGGCGCGGCGCGGUUCUCCCGGCUCAGGCGCGCCCCCGGCCCCCCCGGAGCCUUGGCGGCGGCGGCGGUAUUGGCGAUGGACGGCGGGGCCGGAGGGGCACGGCAUAGGGGAACGCGGUGCCGGCCCACCUGCAGCGUCUCCCGGUAGAACGCGGGCACGGUGCCGCCCUCCACCUCCUCCCAGCGCAGGCGGCCGGGCCCGGGCAGCGGCGUGUCGGUGUGGAAGUUGUAGUCCCAGCGGCGCUGGUCGUCCUCGCCCAUCUCCCGCAGGCGGCUCCGCAGCUCCCGGCCCAGCUCCUCGUGGUCCACCGGCCCGAAUAAGCUCCUGCAGACGGCGCUGCGGCCGGGCACGGGCAGCGCCCGCAGGGCCGCCAGGCGCUCCGGGGCCGCCGCCGCACCCGAAAGGUGCACGUCGGACAUCGCCGCGGGGUGGGUGGGUGCGUGGCCGCCCGCCCCCGCCGCUCCCCUCGCCGCCCGUCCCGUCUCGUCCAGUCCCGUGCCAAACGCGCUCGGGCCCUGCCUCCGCCUCUGAGCCCCUUCCCCCGGCUCC